GAUGAACGCUGGCGGCGUGCCUAAUACAUGCAAGUCGAGCGAACGGACGAGAAGCUUGCUUCUCUGAUGUUAGCGGCGGACGGGUGAGUAACACGUGGAUAACCUCCCUAUAAGACUGGGAUAACUUCGGGAAACCGUAGCUAAUACCGGAUAAUAUUUUGAACCGCAUGGUUCAAAAGUGAAAGACGGUCUUGCUGUCACUUAUAGAUGGAUCCGCGCUGCAUUAGCUAGUUGGUAAGGUAACGGCCUACCAAGGCAACGAUGCAUAGCCGACCUGAGAGGGUGAUCGGCCACACUGGAACUGAGACACGGUCCAGACUCCUACGGGAGGCAGCAGUAGGGAAUCUUGCGCAAUGGGCGAAAGCCUGACGGAGCAACGCCGCGUGAGUGAUGAAGGUCUUCGGAUCGUAAAACUCUGUUAUUAGGGAAGAACAUAUGUGUAAGUAACUGUGCACAUCUUGACGGUACCUAAUCAGAAAGCCACGGCUAACUACGUG
RNAcentral lists this ribosomal RNA (497 nucleotides) under uncultured bacterium. RNAcentral's name for it is "partial 16S ribosomal RNA". It matches the Rfam family "Bacterial small subunit ribosomal RNA", at positions 28 to 507 of the family's 1533-position model. The record is from RNAcentral.